RNAcentral lists this small RNA (37 nucleotides) under Arabidopsis thaliana (thale cress). RNAcentral's name for it is "ATSL297530". Lineage: Eukaryota; Viridiplantae; Streptophyta; Magnoliopsida; Brassicales; Brassicaceae. The record is from RNAcentral.
UAACCGGUUCCGGUUCUUCUUCUUCUUCCUCUUCUUG